UACGUAGGGUGCGAGCGUUGUCCGGAAUUAUUGGGCGUAAAGAGCUCGUAGGCGGUGUGUCGCGUCGGCCGUGAAAACCUGGGGCUCAACUCUGGGCGUGCGGUCGAUACGGGCAUCACUUGAGUUCGGCAGGGGAGACUGGAAUUCCUGGUGUAGCGGUGAAAUGCGCAGAUAUCAGGAGGAACACCGGUGGCGAAGGCAGAUCUCUGGGCCGUAACUGACGCUGAGGAGCGAAAGCAUGGGGUAGCAAACAGG
RNAcentral lists this ribosomal RNA (255 nucleotides) under uncultured bacterium. RNAcentral's name for it is "partial 16S ribosomal RNA". It matches the Rfam family "Bacterial small subunit ribosomal RNA", at positions 524 to 776 of the family's 1533-position model. The record is from RNAcentral.